Molecule: ribosomal RNA, 397 nt
Filed under: uncultured bacterium
Lineage: Bacteria
Description: partial 16S ribosomal RNA
Rfam family: Bacterial small subunit ribosomal RNA
Source: RNAcentral
AUACGUAGGGGGCGGGCGUUGUCCGGAAUGAUUGGGCGUAAAGGGCGCGUAGGCGGCCCGGUAAGUCUGGAGUGAAAGUCCUGUUUUUAAGAUGGGAAUUGCUUUGGAUACUGUCGGGCUUGAGUGCAGGAGAGGUAAGUGGAAUUCCCAGUGUAGCGGUGAAAUGCGUAGAGAUUGGGAGGAACACCAGUGGCGAAGGCGACUUACUGGACUGUAACUGACGCUGAGGCGCGAAAGUGUGGGGAGCAAACAGGAUUAGAUACCCUGGUAGUCCACACUGUAAACGAUGAAUGCUAGGUGUAGGGGGUAUCGACUCCCUCUGUGCCGCAGUUAACACAAUAAGUAUUCCGCCUGGGGAGUACGGCCGCAAGGUUGAAACUCAAAUGAAUUGGCGGGG